Molecule: ribosomal RNA, 484 nt
Filed under: uncultured bacterium
Lineage: Bacteria
Description: partial 16S ribosomal RNA
Rfam family: Bacterial small subunit ribosomal RNA
Source: RNAcentral
AUUGAACGCUGGCGGAAUGCUUUACACAUGCAAGUCGAGCGGCAGCGCGGCCUUCGGGCUGGCGGCGAGCGGCGAACGGGUGAGUAAUGCAUCGGAACAUGCCCAGUCGUGGGGGAUAACACUUCGAAAGAAGUACUAAUACCGCAUACGUCCUGAGGGGGAAAGCGGGGGAUCGCAAGACCUCGCGCGAUUGGAGUGGCCGAUGUCAGAUUAGCUAGUUGGUGGGGUAAAGGCCUACCAAGGCGACGAUCUGUAGCUGGUCUGAGAGGAUGAUCAGCCACACUGGGACUGAGACACGGCCCAGACUCCUACGGGAGGCAGCAGUGGGGAAUUUUGGACAAUGGGGGCAACCCUGAUCCAGCCAUUCCGCGUGAGUGAAGAAGGCCUUCGGGUUGUAAAGCUCUUUCGGCAGGAACGAAACGGUGGGCUCUAACAUAGUCCGCUAAUGACGGUACCUGAAGAAGAAGCACCGGCUAACUACGUG